CCCCUGGCCUCACCUGAAGAUGGUCACAGCUGCCUGCAAUGAUCUCAUUUAGGGUUGGAGUGUGUCCAGGUCUCACUCAAGCCUCUGCACACACUGGAUAUGUUUGAGUCCUUCCUGAGUCUUCUUCCUCUACAAAGCGGAUCGUUUCAUUUAAAUCUGGGUAAAGUUCACAGAGCGCUGUCCGAGCAGAUCAACGGAAAGACUCGAAGAACAAAAAUGUGGCAAAAAGCUAAAUAGACGACCUUCAGCGGAUCAUCAUAAGGAUUCAAGAGACCUCCAGAAAGAGGGAGGAGCUGCUUCAACCACAAACGCCACAUUCAAACGCAUUCAGGUUUCCUCCCACAGUGCAGAAACCUGCUGUUGGUGAGUCCCAGUUGUCCUUUAGGUGUGAGCCUGCGCUCCUGCAACAGACUGGCGACCUGCUCAGGGUGAACCCCAAUGGUCACAAAGGAUUCCUCCCGUUCUGAAGAUGGAUGCCUUCCUGCUGCAUCUGCAGACUGUGUUCCUUCUAUAAAAAAUGGGAUUAAAAAUGAAACUUUUCCAA
Molecule: long non-coding RNA, 544 nt
Organism: Oryzias latipes (Japanese medaka)
Lineage: Eukaryota; Metazoa; Chordata; Actinopteri; Beloniformes; Adrianichthyidae
Source: RefSeq, a predicted model, not a curated record